UUCGCAAUGCCCGAAAGGGUGACGAGGCGACGCCGCGUGUGGGAAGAAGGCCUUCGGGUUGUAAACCACUGUCGGGAGUUAAGAAAUGCAGGGGUGGUAAUAGUAUCCUUGCUUGACUAAGGCUCCGGAGGAAGCCACGGCUAACUCUGUGCCAGCAGCCGCGGUAAUACAGAGGCGGCAAGCGUUGUUCGGAAUUAUUGGGCGUAAAGAGCACGUAGGCGGCUAUGUAAGUCGGUUGUGAAAGCCUUCCGCUCAACGGAAGAACAGCAUCCGAUACUGCAUGGCUUGAGUGCGGGAGGGGAGAGUGGAACUUCUGGUGGAGCGGUGAAAUGCGUAGAUAUCAGAAGGAACGCCGGCGGCGAAAGCGGCUCUCUGGCCCAUAACUGACGCUGAGUGUGCGAAAGCUAGGGGAGCAAACGGGAUUAGAUACCCCGGUAGUCCUAGCCGUAAACGAUGGGCACUAAGUAGAGGGGUUUU
Molecule: ribosomal RNA, 477 nt
Filed under: uncultured anaerobic ammonium-oxidizing bacterium
Lineage: Bacteria
Description: bacterial SSU rRNA
Rfam family: Bacterial small subunit ribosomal RNA
Source: RNAcentral